GACGAACGCUGGCGGCGUGCUUAACACAUGCAAGUCGAACGGAAAGGCCCUGCUUUUGUGGUGUGCUCGAGUGGCGAACGGGUGAGUAACACGUGAGUAACCUGCCCUUGACUUUGGUAUAACUUCAGGAAACUGGGGCUAAUACCGGAUAGGAGCUCCUGCUGCAUGGUGGGGGUUGGAAAGUUUCGGCGGUUGGGGAUGGACUCGCGGCUUAUCAGCUUGUUGGUGGGGUAGUGGCUUACCAAGGCUUUGACGGGUAGCCGGCCUGAGAGGGUGACCGGCCACAUUGGGACUGAGAUAGGGCCCAGACUCCUACGGGAGGCAGCAGUGGGGAAUAUGGCACAAUGGGCGGAAGCCUGAUGCAGCAACGCCGCGUGCGGGAUGACGGCCUUCGGGUUGUAAACCGCUUUCGCCUGUGACGAAGCGGGAGUGACGGUAAUGGGUAAAGAAGCACCGGCUAACUACGUG
RNAcentral lists this ribosomal RNA (468 nucleotides) under uncultured bacterium. RNAcentral's name for it is "partial 16S ribosomal RNA". It matches the Rfam family "Bacterial small subunit ribosomal RNA", at positions 28 to 507 of the family's 1533-position model. The record is from RNAcentral.